AAAACUGGGGUUCCCUAGACCCUAUAUCCUACAAUUUUUAUCAUAUGAAAAAUAUUACAAGAGAAAAGUUACUCUAAAUGAAAUACCAAACAACUUUCAAGUUUAGGUCAAGAUCUAGUUUUUCUUGGAAAAUCAUUUUUUAUGGUGAAAGAUUAUAGGUCAUUUUGUCUAAACCCUAAUUUGGAUGUCAACUUCCCAAGAUCAUAACUUUCUCAUUUUAUAUGAG
RNAcentral lists this long non-coding RNA (226 nucleotides) under Lathyrus oleraceus (garden pea). RNAcentral describes it as "Pisum sativum (pea) long non-coding RNA (PSAT_LNC031039)". Lineage: Eukaryota; Viridiplantae; Streptophyta; Magnoliopsida; Fabales; Fabaceae. The record is from RNAcentral.